UCGUCCCCCUCUCUAGCUCCUUUCUCUUCUUCCUCCUUUGUGCCGCCCAAUAUUCUACUCUCCAUUAUUGCCACCAUCUCCUUGGCCAUUUGGUUGCCAAUUUUUCCACUAUCCACUUUUGAACCUCAUUGUUGUCAUCUCUACUCUCUUCUUUUUCUUCCUCUAUCGUCGCCGUGGUGAGCAACCACCAUUCUUGUCACUGUCGUCCAUUGUUCCUUCUUCUUUUCCUUUCCCUUGUCACAUUUUAUUGUUGUUGAAAUCUCGUUAUAAGCCCUAGGUCAAAUCUCUUUUUAGCACUCGUUGGUGAGUACUCAUCUUUUCUAUGUUAACUACAGAUCCAUAACGGAAAGUGUAAGUAACUUUUUAUGUAAUUAGAUCUAAGAUAUUUUCUUAUUUUUCUCAUUUUGAGAUAGUUAGGUCUCACCUAUUUAAUUCUAUUUAUAUUUGAUUGGUUCUAAAUCUAGAUCCAAACCCCUUAGAUCAACAAUAACUUUGAUGAGUAUUCGCAACUCCGUUAGAAGCCAAAUAGGGUAAGUGUUAAGUUACGACUUCAUAUCUGAAAUUUUGGUUAAAAUUGCUGCUUUGGUCGAACCCUAUAUGAGUGUUAGGGGGAUGAUUUUUAAUGAUUAAACCUUGUUGGGUACAG
RNAcentral lists this long non-coding RNA (646 nucleotides) under Gossypium raimondii (Peruvian cotton). RNAcentral's name for it is "long non-coding RNA (GRAI_LNC006630)". The record is from RNAcentral. Lineage: Eukaryota; Viridiplantae; Streptophyta; Magnoliopsida; Malvales; Malvaceae.